UACGAAGGGGGCUAGCGUUGUUCGGAAUCACUGGGCGUAAAGCGCACGUAGGCGGAUUUGUCAGUCAGGGGUGAAAUCCCGGGGCUCAACCUCGGAACUGCCUUUGAUACAGCAAGUCUUGAGUCCGAGAGAGGUGGGUGGAAUUCCUAGUGUAGAGGUGAAAAUUCGUAGAUAUUAGGAAGAACACCGGUGGCGAAGGCGGCCCACUGGCUCGAUACUGACGCUGAGGUGCGAAAGCGUGGGGAGCAAACAGG
Molecule: ribosomal RNA, 254 nt
Filed under: uncultured bacterium
Lineage: Bacteria
Description: partial 16S ribosomal RNA
Rfam family: Bacterial small subunit ribosomal RNA
Source: RNAcentral